Molecule: long non-coding RNA, 679 nt
Filed under: Homo sapiens (human)
Lineage: Eukaryota; Metazoa; Chordata; Mammalia; Primates; Hominidae
Description: HSALNT0282247
Source: RNAcentral
AGCCACCCCGUCCGGGAAGGAGCAGGAACCGACAUCAGCACUGAGAAGCCGUUUAUUGAAGUAUGGGAAUGAGUGUGUUUUGAUCCUAACUGGAGAGUGUUUUGUCUGCCUUAGUGAAAGGAGAAGCUGAAGAACGCAGCAGCCAUCGUGCCUGCUAAUUUUGAUGUUAUGAUUUAAUACCAGGGGCUUUUCAUCAGGAGAACCAGAGGCAGGAGUGCCUGUAAUCUGAGGCAGCCAAUGAAAGUGUUAGAGAAGAAGACAAACAAGGGAAAAGAAGACAUAAACAAGAGACUGACUUUGUGAGGAUCAUCUGCGAUGGGUUGUGGAGAAGGAAUGAAUGAUGCAUAGAAAGAAAUGAUAGUACAUAAAUGGUUCGUUCCUUAGGAAACCGACCCUCAGGCAAGGGACUGAAACUCAUCAGAUCACUGCAUCUGGACAAUGAGAUGCCAGACCCCUCAUCCAUCAUCAUUGCUUUCUUUCCCCUCCUUAAUUCCUGUUUUCCCACCUUCCCUACUAUAUAAAACCCCCAGUUGGAGAGAUGGGUUUGAGACUUUAUCUGUCGUUCUCCUUGGUCACAGCACCCAAUUAAAGCCUUCUUCCCUGGUAAUACUCAUUGUUUCAGUGGUUGGCGUUCUGUGUGGCCAUCAGCAGGGCCUGGACUGAAUCCCUGGCAUUUCGG